UCGAGCGGUAGAGAGGAGCUUGCUCCUCUUGAGAGCGGCGGACGGGUGAGUAAUGCCUAGGAAUCUGCCUGGUAGUGGGGGAUAACGUUCGGAAACGGACGCUAAUACCGCAUACGUCCUACGGGAGAAAGCAGGGGACCUUCGGGCCUUGCGCUAUCAGAUGAGCCUAGGUCGGAUUAGCUAGUUGGUGAGGUAAUGGCUCACCAAGGCGACGAUCCGUAACUGGUCUGAGAGGAUGAUCAGUCACACUGGAACUGAGACACGGUCCAGACUCCUACGGGAGGCAGCAGUGGGGAAUAUUGGACAAUGGGCGAAAGCCUGAUCCAGCCAUGCCGCGUGUGUGAAGAAGGUCUUCGGAUUGUAAAGCACUUUAAGUUGGGAGGAAGGGCAGUAAAUUAAUACUUUGCUGUUUUGACGUUACCGACAGAAUAAGCACCGGCUAACUCUGUGCCAGCAGCCGCGGUAAU
Molecule: ribosomal RNA, 467 nt
Filed under: uncultured bacterium
Lineage: Bacteria
Description: bacterial SSU rRNA
Rfam family: Bacterial small subunit ribosomal RNA
Source: RNAcentral